Molecule: ribosomal RNA, 439 nt
Filed under: uncultured bacterium
Lineage: Bacteria
Description: partial 16S ribosomal RNA
Rfam family: Bacterial small subunit ribosomal RNA
Source: RNAcentral
CCUACGGGAGGCUGCAGUAGGGAAUAUUGCUCAAUGGGGGAAACCCUGAAGCAGCAACGCCGCGUGGAGGAUGAAGGUCUUCGGAUUGUAAACUCCUUUUGUUAGAGAAGAUAAUGACGGUAUCUAACGAAUAAGCACCGUCUAACUCCGUGCCAGCAGCCGCGGUAAUACGGAGGAUGCGAGCGUUAUCCGGAUGUAUUGGGUUUAAAGGGGGCGUAGGCGGGACCUUAAGUCAGCGGUAACAUUGCGGGGUUAAACGCCGUAGAGCCGUUGAAACUGGGGCUAUUGAGUUUGAGAGAGGUAUGCGGAAUGCGUGGUGUAGCGGUGAAAUGCAUAGAUAUCACGCAGAACCCCGAUUGCGAAGGCAGCAUACCGGCGCUCGACUGACGCUGAGGCACGAAAGUGCGGGUAUCGAACAGGAUUAGAUACCCUGGUAGUC